RNAcentral lists this unclassified non-coding RNA (318 nucleotides) under plant metagenome. RNAcentral describes it as "partial contains 5.8S ribosomal RNA, internal transcribed spacer 2, and large subunit ribosomal RNA". The stretch from base 1 to 105 matches the Rfam family "5.8S ribosomal RNA", at positions 50 to 154 of the family's 154-position model. The record is from RNAcentral.
GAAAUGCGAUAAGUAAUGUGAAUUGCAGAAUUCAGUGAAUCAUCGAAUCUUUGAACGCACAUUGCGCCCGCCAGAAUUCUGGCGGGCAUGCCUGUUCGAGCGUCAUUUCAACCCUCGAGCUCCCCUUGCGGGGGGAGCCCGGCGUUGGGGACGCGGCGCCAACAGCGCCGGCCCCGAAAUGGAGUGGCGGCCCGUCCGCGGCGACCUCUGCGUAGUAACAUCCACUCGCACCGGGACCCGGGCGCGGCCACGCCGUAAAACACCCCACCUUCCGAAUGUUGACCUCGAAUCAGGCAGGAAUACCCGCUGAACUUAAGC